UACGUAGGGGCGAGCGUUGUCCGGAUUUCUUGGGCGUAAAGAGCUCGGAGGCGGUUCGAUAAGUCGGACGUGAAAUCUCCACGCUCAACGUGGAGGGGCCGUUCGAUACUGUCGUGACUCGAGUCCGGUAGGGGAGUGUGGAAUUCCCGGUGUAGCGGUGAAAUGCGCAGAGAUCGGGAGGAACACCCGUAGCGAAGGCGGCACUCUGGGCCGGUACUGACGCUGAGGUGCGAAAGCGUGGGGAGCAAACAGG
Molecule: ribosomal RNA, 253 nt
Filed under: uncultured bacterium
Lineage: Bacteria
Description: partial 16S ribosomal RNA
Rfam family: Bacterial small subunit ribosomal RNA
Source: RNAcentral